Molecule: long non-coding RNA, 1207 nt
Filed under: Homo sapiens (human)
Lineage: Eukaryota; Metazoa; Chordata; Mammalia; Primates; Hominidae
Description: HSALNT0239476
Source: RNAcentral
CAUUUUUGCAAGUAUCUUUAAUGUCUGACGGUAGAUGAAAGCUAGAUUCUCUUAUCUACUUCUUUAUUCAGCCUGUUAUAAUAUCACACCAGAUAGCUGCUCAAAAAUUCCUCUGGACACUCAUGAGAAAAUGAGAGUGCAAAAGAUAAAUUAUGUCUUAGUAUUAUAACAAUAGCUUUGACCUAGGAUACUCUUCAAAGGCUCUUGAAGACCCCCAGACCAUACUUUGAGAACCACUGCUCUAGACGAAUGUCAUCAUUUUACAAAUAAGGACCCUGGACCUCAGAGAGAGUAAAUGAGAAAUCCAACAUCACACAGCCUGUCAAUAGUAGGAUACAGACAUUAGAUGGUUUGUCUCACUUCUCUGGGUUUAGGUUCUCAGUUGGAAACCUGGGAAAUACACCCUAAUGGCCUGUCCCAUUCCCUGUAAGUUGCAAAGACUAUCACAAUGUAUUACCCCCAAUCCACUUUUUAAAAAUAAAUUAAUAAUUUUAAAAAUAAUUUAAAUUAAUAAAUCAACAAACUUGGUAAAUUUUGCAACAGGCAUACUGUGUUUGAAUCUAAACUACAAUAUUUGAAUUCUGAUUUCUAUUUGAACAGAACACUAAGGCAAAUUCGACUGCAUCCUAUUCCAUGCAAGCUAGUAAUGACAAACUGCACAGUAAAUAUCACAGAAAAUCAAGAAAUCUUCUUGGCCACCUAGAGAUGAUUUCCUUUGUAUCCUACCAGAUGGUUCAGAUCUUCUUUAAAUGGAACAUAGUUUUGUUCUUUUAAAGAACACAGGGCCCAGAAGGAGGAAAUUGUUCCCAGGGAACCCACUCCCAACUUUCAUUUUUUUCAGGCUCUACAUUCUUUGGUUCUGAAUCAUGAGUCACGUCCACUUCUCCUUUCAUUAAUACAGUAACAUAAUGGUAAUUCUUCUCAGUGAAAGAAUUCACAACUGAGGCAAAGCGAACAUUUUUCAGGUGAAGAGCUUCUUCCCAGGUUUCCCUUUGAGCACAUUCUUCCCAGUUCUUACUGAACUCCAAAAUGACCCCCAGAAAGCUGAAAACUGCUGGCUCCAAAUGACCCUUUCCUCCUCCCCAGGAGGACACAACACGGAUGCUUGCAGCUGGUCACCACAACUCAGACUCUGACUCUGGGCGGCCGCCCCUGCGGCUUCAUGUUGGCUGUCAUAGUGCAAGCAGGAGGACCAAAAAAUAUGUUU